AUGGUGUAAAGACAGUAGAACAGCAUCAUGAAAAUGCCAAAAGAAAACAAGUUUUUAUUAAGAAUUCUAUGUUCACCUAAAAUAUCCUUCAGAUAUGAAAGCAAAAUAAAGAACUCUCAGAUGAAGAAAAACAAAGAGUCUACCUCCAGCAGAUUACUCUACAAGAAAUGAUUAAAUACUUUAGGCUAAAAUGAAAUGUAGCAUGUUCAGGAAUGAAGGGAAAAAAACAGAAAUAAUAAAUGAAUGAGAAAACAUAAAAUACUACUUUUUUCCUUUUUUUUUCAAAAUAUAUAUGACUGCUGACAGCAAAAAUUAUAAUAUUGUAUGGAGAGGUUUUCAAAGUAUGCAGCCAUAAUACAUAUAAUAACUGUAACAUAAAGACAGGAGUGGGGUGCAACCGAAGGAAAAGAAAGAUCUAUAUGGUUGUAAGCUUUCUCAAUUUUAGGUGAAGGGGUACAACAGUAACUCUAAGUAGGCUGUGAAAGGCUAGGUAUCCAUAUUGUAAUUCCCUAGGGCAUUAAAAAUUAAUACAAAAAGAUAUAGCCAAAAAGUCCAAAAGAGAUAUUAAAAUGGAAUACUGAAGAAUAACCCAAGAAGGUAAAAAAAGAGGAAUGAAAAACAAAGAGGGAAACAGAAGACAAAAAAUGGUAUACCUAAAGUCAUCUAUAUAAAUAAUUAAUCACAUGAAAUAUUAAUGGUCUAAACUCUCCAAAUAAAAAGUAAAGACUGACAGAAUGGAUUUAAAAAAAAAAAAAAAAAAAAAAAAAGGAAAUUCCUACAUGAACUGCCCAAAGCAGAAAAACUUUGAAUAUAAAAAUAUAGACAGAUCAGGAGCAAAUGGACAGAAAAAUUUACCAUGCAAAAUGUAAGCCUAAGAAGUGUGAACAGGCUAUUUUAAUAUUAGAUAAAGUAAGUUUAAGACAAAGAGUAUUACUUGAGAUAAAGAGACAUGUAUCAUAAUGAAAUAAAAGAAUAUUCAUCAGGAGGUUUUAACAAUUAUAAAUGUUUAUGUACAUAAUAGUAGGGCCCCAAAUUACAUGAAGCUGAAACUGACAAAACUAUAGGGACAGGAAACAAAUGACAGAGUGGGAUAUUUUUAAUACCCCUUCUCAGCAACUGAUAAAUAGAACUAGAGAAAAAAAUUAAUAUAGACAUAAAAGAGCCAAACAACACUGUCCACUUUAACUAUAUGACACUAAUAGAACUCUACAUGCAAAAAUGGUAGAAUAUAUAUUCUUUUCAAGUGCACAUGGCACAAUCACAAAGGCAGACUAUAUGCUGAGAGAUAACACAUAUCUCGAUAAACUUUAAAAGGCCGAAAUUAGGAGUUCCUAUUGUGGCACAGGGGAAACAAAUCCAACUAGUAAUCAUGAGGUUGCAGGUUCAAACCUUGGCCUUGCUCAGUGGGUUAAGGAUCCAGUGCUGCCGUGAGCUUAGUGUAGGUCGCAGAUGCGGCUUGGAUCCUGCGUUGCUGUGGCUGUGGCACAGGUCAGCAGCUGCAGCUCCAAUUCGACCCUUAGCCUGGGAACCUCCACAUGCUGUGGGUGUGGCCCUAAAAAGAAAAAAAAAAAAAAAUUAAAGACUAAAAUUAUACAAAAUGUCCACUGGAAAGUAGUAACAAGAAAACACCAAUAUCUGAAGGUUAAGUAAAAUUCUAAGCAAUGUAUGGAUCAAAGAUGAAAUUACAAAGAAAAUUAGAAAAUAUUUUAAACUAAGUGACAAAGAAUAUGCAGAUUAUCAAAAUUCGUGGGAUGCAACUAAGAUGCUUGCAUGAAAAUCCAUCACUUUAAAUACCAGAAGACUCUUGUCUUAAAAUCUAAAAUCAAUGACCUAAGAUUCCACCUUAGGAAACUUAAAAAAAAAAAAAAAAAAGUAAAUUAUAAUAAGGGGAAAGUUAACAAAAUAGAAAAUAAUUCAAUAAUAGAGAAAAUUGACAAACCCAAAAGUUGGUUCUCUAUGAAUUUAUAAACAAAAACAAUCAAGGAAAAAAGAAAAAACCCCAACAUGAGGAAUGAAAAAGGGAUUAUCACCACAAACUCCACAGACAUUAAAGAAUAAUAAUUUAAAAAAAUGCUAUCAAUAAUUUUAUGCCAAAUAUUUCAAUAAUUUAGAUGAGAGGAAAAAUUUCUCCCCAAGAAUUCAAGUUACCAAAAUUCACAUGAGAAAUAACAAAAAAUCUACAUAUUGCUAUAUCUAUGAAACAAAAUGAAUUUGUCAAAAGCAUCCUUCAAAGAAAAUUCUAGGACCAGAUGGUACCCCCGGUGAAUUCUAUCAAAUAUCCAAGCAGAAAUAAGACUGACCUCAUGCAAACUUUUUAAAAAUACAGAAGAGUUACUAAUCAACUCAUUUUAUGAGACAAGGAUAACUACAAUACUAAACAAGACAAAGAUAUUACCAAAAAAAAAUUAUAGACCAAUAUUCUUCAUGAAUAUAGCAGAAUAAUCCCAAAUCAAAUUUAAAUAUACAGCACACAUGAGGUUCCAUCCCAGGAAUACAAAGUUGACUUCACAUUCAAACAUUAAUUUAAUUUUUCCUUUAUUUUCUAAAUAUAUGGUCAUUUCAAUAAAUGCAGAAAAAGCAUUUGACAAAAUUCAAUACACAUCUAUAACUAAAACUAUAAGCAAAAUACAAAUAGUAGGGAAUUUCGUCAAGUAGGCAAACAUCAAAACAUCUACUGCUAACAUCAUACUUAAAACUGAAAGACAGAGUAAUUUGUCCUUGUCUCUCCCUCAGAGUACAAGCAAGGUAGGAGGCAACUUUCACCACUUCUAUUCAGCAAUGACUAACAGAAGGAGAAAGAUUCUUGUCUUUGGAAUAAAGAUGAGGGGAGCACAGAGGUAGCUGAAAAUCAGAAAGAAUGAUGAUAUUAUGUAGUACAUACCAAAGAAUCUAUAAAACUAUUAAAAUUAAUCCACAGCAUUCACUGUAGUCCACCUAUGAUACUAACAACACUCACUUGCUUCAAAUAAAUACUGGAGAAUGUUCCUGCAGAAUUCUGGUUAGUCUUCUCUCCUGGAGAAACUUUCCAGAGGCAGUAAAAUGGGACAAACUACAGCCUCCACCACUGGUUUCAGAUGGUUUCCGGGCCAAAGUUUAUAUUUACAACCUCCUCUCUGCUAGUCAUUCUAGAUUCCCUUCAUCUUUGGCUAAAAUUUCUGCUGGUCCAGAUGGCUGAUCAUGGGAAACGGUCAUCAGGCCUUUCUCAUGUCCAUUUACCAUUCAAGUUGUAAAGGGAGUACCAACAGACAGCAGAUCACGUGUGCCAAACCUUAUUACCCAUCAUGCGAUGGCAGCCCUACCUCCCCCAGAUGACCAGGUUCAGCCCUGUCAAAAUGGUGACUCCUUUCUUUGGAAAGGACCACCAAGUUCCAGCAGUAGCUGUGCCUUAAAACUGGACUUACAGUGUCUCUGUUGAAAAUGUUUCCCUUCUGAAAACCAGGAUCUUUUAAUACCCAGUGCUCAGAACUACACAGAUGGGAAGCAUAAAUUCCCCAGUGGAUCAUGGAUAGUGAUACCAAGUGGUGCCAUUCCAAUUUCCAUGUAUUCUUCCUACUGGGAACACAGGAGCACAGAACCUCAUCCUCAUCAGCUGUGCUGUCAGAAGACUAUUCUACCACUCCAUCAGGUCAGCAGCUUCUGGGUAGAUUGGUACACAACGGGAAAUACAGAUCUGUGGGAUCCAUUUGCUAUAAAGUGGGUCCUUUACUCUGAAGGGAUGCUGCGUGUCAGCUUGUACUCACAGUUCACUCUGUAAGCCCUCAAACAGAGGCACGACUGAGCCCCUCAAGUUGGAGUGGGAAACUCAAACUAAGAAUAUGAGUCAAAUCCAAUCAAAAGGAAUCAAGGUCCUUUCCAAAGCACAAGGAUUGGUUGAUUUCCUUGAAGGAAAGUUAGUCUCUGCCACUGUCAGGCUGGACUUUCAGCAGCUCAGCUGACAGAUCAGCACUGAUAAAUAUAAGUCCAUUACUGGGCCCUUGCAUAGCCCAUCAAAGGUAAUUUUUCCAAAAUACUUGUAAGCCAAAGGGAAUAUCUAACAGUAGUGUUUACUAAGUAAUCAGAUCCAAACAAUUAAUAAAAAUGUACAUUCUAACAACUUAGUAGCCAUGUGAAAAAAUACUACACAUAUAUUGAAAGAAAAAUACUUAUAUUUUAUUCUUAAAUAACUGCAUUUACUUAAUAAUAGGACAUGUGCAUCUGCUAGAUACUACACAUCUUCUCAAACUUGUGCAGAUUCAACAUACACCCUCUUUCUGUUCCACUGAUUUUUGUGCAGUGCUUUAUCUGUAUCACAGUAACUACCCAAAAUCCAACUCCAAAAAGAUACAUCAUCAGAAGCAAUACAGCAUGAUCUAACGUCAAGACUGGGAAUUACCUCAACUAAGCAGUUUGUGACAGAUGCUUCUGUGUUUCCUUUGCAAUUCUGAAAUAUCCCAUGAUAUUCUUUUUUGCCACUUCUUGGGCCGCUCCCAUGGCAUAUGGAGGUUCCCAGGCUAGGAGUCCAAUCGGAGCCGUAGCCACCGGCCUACACCACAGCCACAGCAAUGUGGGAUCCGAGCCGUGUCUGCGACCUACACCACAGCUCACGGCCACGCUGGAUCCUUAACCCACUGAGCAAGGCCUGGGAUUGAACCCGAAACCUCAUGGUUCCUAGUCGGAUUCAUUAACCACUGAGCCACGACGGGAACUCCUCCCAUGACAUUCUUUUAGGGAAUCACUGUGUGUGUGGGGGGGGGGGCACAUGCGCACUAGUGCACCACAGUCCCUCUCCUUCCUCAGUGUGUGUGUGUGUGUGCAUGUGUGUGUGCAAGUGCACCACAGUCCCUCUCCUCCCUCGCAGUCCCUCUCCUCCUACUGUGUGUGUUUGUGUGUAUGAGUGUGUGUGUGCAAGUGCACCGCAGUCCCUCUUCUCCGUCACAGUUCUCUCCUCCCUCAGCAGGCCCGACACCUCCCAGUAGGUUUGGUUAACUAGACUUAAAUCUAGUUACUGGUUUGGAGGGGAGAGGAGAGUAGACAGGGGUGGUAGGGGCAACAUGAUCUUCAAGCAACCAUCCUCUAGCCAGGAGAACAAUGCCACUUCCGUAGGCUCAGAGGACUCAGAGGAAUUUGGGGUUUCAAGGUUUUCCUGUGCAUCCACUCAGAUGUCCUGUCUUAGGAGACACAGUCCCAUUCCUUCCAGAUCAGAGCACAGACAUGGGCAUAGCAGACCUGCUCGGAAAUCAAACCACCCUGGAGAUUUGCUAUCCUUGAAAUUAAAUCUUGAGCCUAAUCCUUAGCUUAUUCUUUCCUCCUACUGCAGAAGAUGAGUUUCUUCACAUGGUGCCAAAGAAAGAAGUCACCUUAUUUUCUCAUUUUGCUCCCCAAUUACCUUCAGUUUUUCAUUAUCUUUCUCCAUUCUAUCAAUGUCACUCACUAAACAGCCACCUGAUUACUGUCUUUAUAAUUAAUAAUGUCACAAAGCCUCUCAAAAACCUAAGACAUUGUACAUCCUCUUCUACAGGAAUUGCACUCCAACUCACCACCAGCCAGUUUUAAGAGGUGCACAGCUACAGUGUGUGCCAAGUGUUAUCCGCAUGAGUGCUCCACCUACAACCAGUAGUGGGGUUCUCACUGCCAGCCAGGCAGCCAGUAGAUAAGAGAGCUCCAAAAUCCCAUUUUAAAGUCUACUUCCUCAGACCACGGCUGGCACCACAACUGUCUUGGCUAAGUUUCCCAAGAAAACAGACUCUGAAAUGGAGAUGUGCACACCCAAAAUAUUGGGGAAUGCCCUCCAAAUCAACAGCUGUGGGAGAGAAAGGAAGUGAGACUAAAGAAAGGAAGGAAUGAACUGAAACGCAGUCAGGAGAAGGCCUCGGCCAGUCUCACGGGAAGCUCUGAAGUUGGGACGGACCUUCAAAGCUGUCCUGCCUUAGGGCAAAAGGGCCAGGCAUUUACACUCCCACACAGAACAGGCUUCCGAUGCAGGUGGACUCUGAAGAAGAGGCAUGACUCUGAAGGAAGCAGCUCUGUUGGCUCAGAGCAAUGCCUAGAGAGGGACUCAGCUGCAAUCAGCUUUAGCUGCCAAUCUUCCCAAUGGCUAGGGAAACUCGUAUCUGAAUGGAAGGACAUGGGCUGUGGGCCACAGCACCCGCCACGCCACUGCUGGAUGACUGCACCAAAUCUGGCUAAUGAGAGGAGAGAAUUAAUCAUCUACCCUGCCUUCUUAGGAGGAACUAGGUCCACCAUCAGUUGAUGAAGGAAAACUCUUCUUUGCAGAAGAGCAUCAGGUAAUAAAUUCUAUAAUAACAGAAUUAUAAAAAUCAUCUUUUUAAAGCCCCUAAUGAAAUUAUUGACUCAGUCAAGGAUUAUCAAAGGAUCCUAAAACCAUUUGUUGGAAGAUAUUGACAGUGUGCUAAAGUUAUUACCCAUGAUUACCUGCUUACUGCAAAUGGAAAAAGGAUACAUUUACAGAAAAAGCACACAUUUACCAUCUUAUCCAAGUAAUUAGACUGAGUAUUAUUAAACAAUGAGGCAACCUGAAAACCCCUAGAUGGGACGCAAUAUGCAGCACUUAGCAUUAUACACAAAAUAUUCUUACCAAAAAAUG
This 6583-nucleotide long non-coding RNA is filed under the name Sus scrofa (pig). RNAcentral's name for it is "lncRNA (ENSSSCG00035040264.1)". Lineage: Eukaryota; Metazoa; Chordata; Mammalia; Artiodactyla; Suidae. The record is from RNAcentral.